UUGUUGUCUGGUGUUCUUUAUGUUCCCUACAGGAGCUGCCGAUACAAAGGCCUGACCCAGAAGAAAUUCUGCGUCACCUGUACCAUCAAGAUCAAGAUCAAGAUCAAAAUGGCGCGCGAAUUGCAGCUGUCCUGGACGUUGACAAUUUCUUGGUAACUUCGUGGAUUCAAUAAUGUCUGAGGAAGAAUAUGAAAAGGAAUGCAGGAAAUGAUUUACCCAAGAGAACAUUGUGCAGGAAAGAGUUAUCAUUUACCAAAUGACAAAGAACCAUGUACGAGGCCUUACUCGCAUGGAGAAGCAGAAAGUUAGGAGGCAGUCAUCUCUUCUCCAAUGGGAUCCAGAAAAGAAGAUUUUGUAUUAUACUGGCCACAGAGAUAGCAAGAAAAGAGAGGUGGUCAGGAAUCUGAGCAGCUUGAGAAGGUGCUGAAUAUCUUUCACACCAGCCCAACAGGAGAGCACAGUGGCUGGAACUCCACUUACACGAAAAUUUCAAAGGAGUAUAUCUGGAGAAAGAUGCAGUUUGACACCAAGCACUAUGUUGCCAUGUGUCCCAAGUGCCAAAAGCACAACCCAGUGAAGACACAGCCCACUGCAGUGAGACGCAGCAAGGUUAAGGAGCCGUGGGAGCUGGUUCAAGUAGACUCGACUGCUUUGAACCAUCACUUCCCAAGAUCCCAAAGUGUACUUCAAGUUGGUCUAAGGAUGAACUUCUUUUGCUGUUGGAGUUGAUGAGAGAAUGCAAGAAAACCAUCAAAAGAGUAUUAGGGCCGAACUUGGCAACAGAGGACAAGAGAGCGCGUGCUGAGAUGGCUGACGUUCUCGAUGCUACCUUCCUACUUGUUUGGCGGUCACAGGAACAAGUGGAAAAACAAUGCCAGAACUUGCUUUCAAAAGAGUGAUGAAUCCUGAUAUAUGAAAUCCAUUGCUGAUAUCAAGAUGUAUGUAGACAUUGACUGCCCCAGUGAUGAAGCUGUCACUUUCUUGCAAGACUACCCAGUGUAUGUGUUAUAAAUCUUUAUCCCGUCAGAUAUAUCAACCACAUCUCAUAAUCCUGUAGAAUAAAGACUUUUCAGAACCAAUGCAGCAAAAAAA
RNAcentral lists this long non-coding RNA (1092 nucleotides) under Portunus trituberculatus (swimming crab). RNAcentral's name for it is "uncharacterized LOC123506934, transcript variant X3". Lineage: Eukaryota; Metazoa; Arthropoda; Malacostraca; Decapoda; Portunidae. The record is from RNAcentral.